UCCAACCAUGUGAACCCUUCUGUUGAUCUCUCCAUGAACAGGAACCCAUGAUUUCAGUUUUCAAAACACCACUGCAUUUACCUGUUUAAUUCUGCACACUUGUUUCUAAUUGCUUGCUUUCACUUAUACACAUAUAUUUCCUUCCUCCUGUUCUGUAUUCCCAGGUUUUGAAGGUUCAGGGCUCUGCUGGCAAUGAGUAUUGCAUCUCUGAGUAACAGAAACUUCUUUUAAUCUGUGCCACCAGUUUUCUUGUCAUUUGGUUUAUUAAACAGCACUUCCAUCACAGACACGUAACACUUGCAUCUGUUCACUUCUGCAUGGACUUGUUGUAAGUAAGAGGGAAAGAAAAUACAGAAAUGAGGCCUGAGAAGAUGAAGCUCCUGCAGCCUGGGAGGGCUUCGUGCUCACUGAAGCACAGGACUCUACAGAGUCUUGAACAAAUCCCUGUAUUUUCUUACACUACAUCUCUUUUGACAGCAAAUAUUUCCAAAGAUUAAAAUUGAAGUAGUCUCUCAUUUUCAAGUUGCAAAGUAUUUGUAUGAAUGAAGAAAAUACAGCUUCAUUGUAUGAAUGAAGAAAAUACAGCUUCACCUUGUCAUCCUUAGAUGACAGGGGACAUUAUCUGCAUCACAGAAGGGAUCUCAGAAAUGUACAGAUUAAGGUAAAAUGUAUCAUGUAAUUUCUAACAUUCCAUCUGCUAUGACAAAGACCCUCUUUUAGGAACAAUUUCUGCAUCACAGAUAUAUUUAUUCUCUGGUAAUAUUAUUAUAAUUGUUAGGGCUUAAAAACACUUCUGAGAUUAAGUCUCAACAUUCUGAUUAGUCACCAAGAACAAGCAGAACAUACAUGUAGUGAUUACCUAAAGGUAAUAAGUUCAAACAGCAGUUUUUGCAUUUGCUAAGCCUCGAAGUGUUGAAGCAUUUGAUUUUUCAGCCUUACUGACAGUUUUGGUUUGGCAUGCAUACAGCAUCACUGAAAGUCUCUUAUUGACAGGAUGCUACUAAACAUAUACUGUAGAGAACAAAUAAUAUGAAAUGAGACCUCAGUGCAAAGUGUUUCUGACGUAUUCAUCCAAAAGUUGCAAAUGUCCUUUGCUGUUGUUCUAUUCUGCCUCAGCAUGAGAGUGCUGUUCUUCUCCCAGGAAGCUGUAGGAGCUAUGAAGGUGAAUAUGUGACUUGCAGUGCCUUGAGACAUUAGGCAAAGGCUUUGUACAAUGCUUGCCCCCAGCAUGCCAUUAUUCAGGCAUCAUGCCUAAACUUUUGCUGUCUGAAGAGGGAAACUAACAAACAAACAAAGAAAUCCUAGCCUCAAAGGUCUAGACAAAACAUGAAUAAACUAAACUGCACUGGAACA
This 1353-nucleotide long non-coding RNA is filed under the name Phasianus colchicus (ring-necked pheasant). RNAcentral describes it as "lncRNA (ENSPCLG00000019499.1)". Lineage: Eukaryota; Metazoa; Chordata; Aves; Galliformes; Phasianidae. The record is from RNAcentral.